AUACGUAGGGAGCAAGCGUUGUCCGGAAUUACUGGGCGUAAAGGGCGUGUAGGCGGCCGAUCAAGUCAGGUGUGAAAUUUCAGGGCUCAACCCUGAGCGUGCACUUGAAACUGGUUGGCUUGAGUGCAGAAGAGGAAAGUGGAAUUCCCAGUGUAGCGGUGAAAUGCGUAGAUAUUAGGAGGAACACCAGUGGCGAAGGCGGCCUGCUGGACGACAACUGACGCUGAGGCGCGAAGGCGUGGGGAGCAAACAGGAUUAGAUACCCUGGUAGUCCACGCUGUAAACGAUGAAUACUAGGUGUGGGGGGACUGACCCCCUCCGUGCCGCAGUUAACACAAUAAGUAUUCCACCUGGGGAGUACGAUCGCAAGAUUGAAACUCAAAGGAAUUGACGGGG
This 396-nucleotide ribosomal RNA is filed under the name uncultured bacterium. RNAcentral's name for it is "partial 16S ribosomal RNA". It matches the Rfam family "Bacterial small subunit ribosomal RNA", at positions 523 to 918 of the family's 1533-position model. The record is from RNAcentral.